AACGAACGCUGGCGGCAUGCCUAACACAUGCAAGUCGAACGAGACCUUCGGGUCUAGUGGCGCACGGGUGCGUAACGCGUGGGAAUCUGCCCUUGGGUUCGGAAUAACAGUUAGAAAUGACUGCUAAUACCGGAUAAUGUCUUCGGACCAAAGAUUUAUCGCCCAGGGAUGAGCCCGCGUAGGAUUAGCUAGUUGGUGAGGUAAAGGCUCACCAAGGCGACGAUCCUUAGCUGGUCUGAGAGGAUGAUCAGCCACACUGGGACUGAGACACGGCCCAGACUCCUAC
RNAcentral lists this ribosomal RNA (286 nucleotides) under uncultured bacterium. Its description in RNAcentral is "partial 16S ribosomal RNA". It matches the Rfam family "Bacterial small subunit ribosomal RNA", at positions 29 to 342 of the family's 1533-position model. The record is from RNAcentral.